CGGGGCAUAGUAUACCGGCAGUACGCACGCUUCGGGUGCGUGAAGACUGGGUUCAAUUCCCAGUGCCCCGAC
This 72-nucleotide transfer RNA is filed under the name Parcubacteria group bacterium ADurb.Bin305. RNAcentral's name for it is "tRNA-Pro". It matches the Rfam family "tRNA". Rfam says of the family: Transfer RNA (tRNA) molecules are approximately 80 nucleotides in length. Their secondary structure includes four short double-helical elements and three loops (D, anti-codon, and T loops). The record is from RNAcentral.